CGUGUAGGCGGUUUCGUAAGUCGGACGUGAAAGCUCCUGGCUUAACUGGGAGAGGCCGUUCGAUACUGCGGGACUUGAGGUCGGGAGAGGGACGCGGAAUUCCCGGUGUAGUGGUGGAAUGCGUAGAUGUCGGGAGGAACACCAGUGGCGAAGGCGGCGUCCUGGCCCGCACCUGACGCUAAGACGCGAAAGCGUGGGUAGCGAACG
RNAcentral lists this ribosomal RNA (207 nucleotides) under uncultured bacterium. Its description in RNAcentral is "partial 16S ribosomal RNA". It matches the Rfam family "Bacterial small subunit ribosomal RNA", at positions 568 to 774 of the family's 1533-position model. The record is from RNAcentral.